CUCUCUCUCUCUCUCUCUCUCUCUCUCUCUCUCUCUCUCUCUCUCUCUCUCAACACUUAGCUCUCUCUCUCGACUGCAUAUCCCUUACACUUAGCUCUCUCUCUCUCUCGAUCUGGCUUGUUGCUAUCGUGCUUUGCUGUUGCCGGUCCCGACUUUGCCACCGUUCGCGAUUUCUCUCUCUCGAUCUGCCACAGGUCGCGAUUUCUCUCCCCGUUCGGAUCCAUUUUGGUUCUGCCUUCCAGAGUUCCAGGCUCCAGCCACCGAGCCACCUCCCCUUUCAGUCUGCCUGAGCCACCUCCUCUGCCACCGAGUCACCUUCAAGGCUUCAAGUCUAUAUCUCUGAUCUCUGCGACUCCUUCAAGGCUUCAAUCCCUGAAUCUUAGUCAAUGUAUGAUGAUAAUGGGUGUGUAGCUUUGGUGGUGGGAGUACUAGGUAAUUGAACUUUCAAUCCAUCUCUGAAAUGGCUGUUGGUUGUAUAUUGGGAGCUAGUUAGGUGCCUGCUACUUUGAGAACAACAGAACACUGUCCUGUUUGCAGCGUCAACAACACCAUCAAUUCUCAUCUGGGUAUUUCUUUUUGUUAUUUUUUUUAACUACUCUUGUUUUUUUUACUGUCUCAUUAUAUCUUAUACAUGAGUCACUGUCUGUCAAAGAUUAAUGCAAUGCCUUUCUCAACAACAAUAGUGGAGUAGAUUGUGUACAUCUGCUGACAUUUUGGUUACAAAUCAUAUUAUUUUUGGUUGCUUGCUUUUGAUUAUU
Molecule: long non-coding RNA, 758 nt
Filed under: Rosa chinensis
Lineage: Eukaryota; Viridiplantae; Streptophyta; Magnoliopsida; Rosales; Rosaceae
Description: sRNA RchiOBHm_Chr2g0120251
Source: RNAcentral